RNAcentral lists this ribosomal RNA (253 nucleotides) under uncultured bacterium. RNAcentral's name for it is "partial 16S ribosomal RNA". It matches the Rfam family "Bacterial small subunit ribosomal RNA", at positions 524 to 776 of the family's 1533-position model. The record is from RNAcentral.
GACGAACCGUGCAAACGUUGUUCGGAAUCACUGGGCUUAAAGGGUGCGUAGGUGGGAAGGUAAGUCAGUGGUGAAAUCUCCGGGCUUAACUCGGAAACUGCCAUUGAUACUAUCUGUCUUGAAUACCGUGGAGGUCAGCGGAAUAUGUCAUGUAGCGGUGAAAUGCUUAGAUAUGACAUAGAACACCAAUUGCGAAGGCAGCUGGCUACACGAAUAUUGACACUGAUGCACGAAAGCGUGGGGAUCAAACAGG